CCAAUUUAUUCUUCCAGGACGGCAUUGAACCUAUACCUGGUGCAGAGAAGGCUGUUGCUGCAACUGCAGGAGAAGAAUCUGUUCAGGGCAGCAAAACCAAUGAAGAAGAACCUGAUGCAGAAAAUACUGCGGAAGGAGAGGAGGGCGACGAAGAUGAAGAAAA
Molecule: non-coding RNA, 163 nt
Organism: Bemisia tabaci
Lineage: Eukaryota; Metazoa; Arthropoda; Insecta; Hemiptera; Aleyrodidae
Source: RefSeq, a predicted model, not a curated record